GUAGGUGGCAAGCGUUGUCCGGAUUUAUUGGGUUUAAAGGGUGCGUAGGCGGCCCUGUAAGUCAGUGGUGAAAUAUCUCAGCUUAACUGAGAGGGUGCCAUUGAUACUGCGGGGCUUGAGUACAGAUGAGGUAGGCGGAAUUGACGGUGUAGCGGUGAAAUGCAUAGAUAUCGUCAAGAACUCCGAUAGCGAAGGCAGCUUACUAAGCUGUAACUGACGCUGAGGCACGAAAGUGUGGGGAUCAAACAGGAUUAGAUACCCUGGUAGUCCACACUGUAAACGUUGAUGACUCGAUGUUGGCGAUACACAGCCAGCGUCCAAGAGCAAUCGUUAAGUCAUCCACCUGGGGAGUACGCCGGCAACGGUG
This 367-nucleotide ribosomal RNA is filed under the name uncultured organism. RNAcentral's name for it is "bacterial SSU rRNA". It matches the Rfam family "Bacterial small subunit ribosomal RNA", at positions 527 to 896 of the family's 1533-position model. The record is from RNAcentral.